UUAAGUUAUUAAGGGCAUACGGUGGAUGCCUAGGCGCCAGAAGCCGAAGAAGGACGUGGAUGGCUGCGAAAAGCCUCGGUGAGCUGUCAUCAAGCGUGAGAGCCGGGGAUAUCCGAAUGGGGAAACCUGCCUGGGGGAAUGCCCAGGCACUGCAAUCUGAAUACAUAGGAUUGACAGAGGGCACCCGGGGAACUGAAACAUCUAAGUACCCGGAGGAAAAGAGAACAUUCCCUGAGUAGUGGCGAGCGAAAGGGGAGGAGCCUAAACCUACGUUGUGCAGAAGGCUGCAGCCGUUGCAGCGUGGGGGUUGAAGGGGCUAGGGCGUGUUUCUGCAGAGGCACGAAGGAGUAAGAAAUCUCAGGUCUAGUCGAACUGUACUGGGAAGGCAGAGCGCAGAAGGUGAGACUCCUGUAGACGAAAGGUCUGAGACUCCUGCUAGUACCCUGAGUACCACGGGACACGAGGAAUCUUGUGGGAAGCAAGGGAGACCACUCUCUAAGGCUAAAGACUUAUGGCGACCGAUAGUGAACAAGUACCGUGAGGGAAAGGUGAAAAGAACCGGGUUGACCGGAGUGAAAUAGAACCUGAAACCGUAUGCUUACAAGCAGUCGGAGGACAAUGCCCGUAAGGGAAGGUCUGACGGCGUGCCUCUUGGAGAAUGAGCCAGCGAGUUACUUUCAGUAGCGAGGUUAAGGCAGAGACAGCCGGAGCCGUAGCGAAAGCGAGUCUGAAAAGGGCGCAUAGUUGCUGGGAGUAGACCCGAAACCAGGUGAGCUACUCAUGGUCAGGGUGAAGCGGGGGUAACGCCUCGUGGAGGCCCGAACCCAUUAAUGUUGCAAAAUUAUGGGAUGAACUGUGAGUAGGGGUGAAAUGCCAAACGAACUUGGAGAUAGCUGGUUCUCCCCGAAAUAGCUUUAGGGCUAGCCUCAAGUGUUGAGUACCGGGGGUAGGGCACUGGAUUGGCUAGGGGGCGUAUAGCUUACCAAACCAAACCAAACUUCAAAUACCGGUAGUUGUAGCUUGGGAGUCGGACUACGGGAGAUGAGUUUCGUGGUCAAAAGGGAAACAGCCCAGAUCGCCAGCUAAGGUCCUGAAGUACGAGCUAAGUGGGAAAGGAUGUGGGAUUACUUGGACAGCCAGGAGGUUGGCUUAGAAGCAGCCAUCCUUGAAAGAGUGCGUAAUAGCUCACUGGUCUAGUGAUCCUGCGCCGAAAAUUUAACGGGGCUAAAGCUCGUCACCGAAGCUGCGGAUUCAUGUACCUGAGGGUAUGUGAGUGGUAGGGGAGCGUUCUGCACAGCGGAGAAGGGUGACUGAAAAGACGCCUGGAGCGUGCAGAAGAGAGAAUGCUGGCAUGAGUAGCGAGAAACACGUGAGAACCGUGUUCGCCGUAAAUCUAAGGUUUCCGACGGAAGGUCAAUCCACGUCGGGUUAGUCGGGCCUAAGGCGAGGCCGGAUGGCGUAGUCGAUGGACAACAGGUUAAUAUUCCUGUACCACGUAAUACCGAUUGAGUGAAGGGGUGACGCAGGGGGGUAGGCCAGCCAGUUAUUGGAUUCUGGUGCUAAGCCUGUAGGGCGACGAAAGGGAUAGGGAAAACCGUUCCUAGAGCCUGAGGGGUGAUGGCGGAGCCCGAGAGGGCCGGAAGUGGUUGAGCCCGCGCUGCCGAGAAAAGCCUCUAGCGAGGUAUGCGUGACCGUACCGCAAACCGACACAGGUAGAUGGGUAGAGAAUACCAAGGCGAACGGGAGAACCCUUGUUAAGGAACUAGGCAAAUUAAGUCCGUAACUUAGGGAAAAGGACUGCCACUGGUUGUGAGGGCGACUAGCUUGUCUGAGCGAUUGGUGGUCGCAGCGAAAUGGCUCUGCCGACUGUUUAACAAAAACACAGGUCUCUGCGAAAGCGAAAGCUGACGUAUAGGGGCUGACGCCUGCCCAGUGCCGGAAGGUUAAGGGGAGAUGUGAUGAGCAUUGAACCGAAGCCCCGGUGAACGGCGGCCGUAACUAUAACGGUCCUAAGGUAGCGAAAUUCCUUGUCGGGUAAGUUCCGACCCGCACGAAAGGCGUAACGAGCAGAGCACUGUCUCAACAAGGGACCCGGCGAAGUUGAAAUAGCGGUGAAGAUGCCGUUUACCCGCAGCAGGACAAAAAGACCCCGUGGAGCUUUACUGUAGCUUGACAUUGAGUUAGGGCUUUGUCUGUGUAGGAUAGGUGGGAGGCUGUGAAGCUGGUCCGCUAGGAUCGGUGGAGUCGACGUUGAAAUACCACCCUGAUGGAGUCUUGGCUCUAACCUGUGGCCCUAAUCGGGCAUGGGGACAGUGUCUGGUAGGCAGUUUGACUGGGGCGGUCGCCUCCUAAAGAGUAACGGAGGCGCCCAAAGGUUCCCUCAGGCUGAAUGGAAACCAGCCGCAGAGUGUAAAGGCAUAAGGGAGCUUGACUGCGAGACAAACAAGUCGAGCAGAGACGAAAGUCGGGCUUAGUGAUCCUACGGUUCCGAGUGGAAGGGCCGUGGCUUAACGGACAAAAGCUACCCCGGGGAUAACAGGCUGAUCUCCUCCAAGAGUUCACAUCGACGAGGAGGUUUGGCACCUCGAUGUCGGCUCGUCGCAUCCUGGGGCUGAAGUAGGUCCCAAGGGUCCGGCUGUUCGCCGGUUAAAGCGGUACGCGAGCUGGGUUCAGACCGUCGUGAGACAGGUCGGUCUCUAUCCGCUGUGGGCGAAGGGGAUUUGAGAGGGGCUGCCCCUAGUACGAGAGGACCGGGGUGGACAGACCGCUGGUGUACCAGUUGUCUCGCCAGAGGCAUGGCUGGGUAGCUAAGUCUGGCAGCGAUAACCGCUGAAAGCAUCUAAGUGGGAAACGCGCCUCAAGAUGAGAUCCCCCACUGUAAAAGGGUAAGUGCACCGGGAGACUACCGGUUAGAUAGGCGGCAGGUGUACGCACUGUGAGGUGUUGAGCCGAGCCGUACUAAUGCACGAGGACUUAAUCUA
Molecule: ribosomal RNA, 2981 nt
Filed under: sludge metagenome
Description: bacterial LSU rRNA
Rfam family: Bacterial large subunit ribosomal RNA
Source: RNAcentral